CCUUCUAAGUGGCUCCCUUUCUCUGGUUGGAGAAUCGUAUAUUCGUAAUAGACUUUUUGAUUCGAAGAUGAUCCAGCGACUAGGGCACCUUUAGCUAAUCUUUGGAAAUCUUGAACAAGAAGCGGAUGUUGCGGAUCGGAUCAACUCAUCAGAGAAUUUUGUAUCUCUUGUGCAUUUAUUUUCAAAUCUGAGAUCUGAUUCCCAGAAUCAAAGCGAAUUCGUCUUGGAUAGGGUAUGUGAACUGUGAAGACUUUUUUCUGAAACAAAAACCUUUCAAUUAAAAUUCAUUUCAAGGAUCAGAUUGGAUUUUGCGAAUCGAAUUAACAAGGAUAAGAGAUGGUGUUAUGGCACGAUUAUGCUAUGGGAAAAGAUUGAUUGAAUGAAAUGUGAAUUGUGAUAUUCUAUAAUUAAAAAAAGCCAAUGACGAAGAAGACGGCAAAGCAAGUGUGAGAAAGACAGAGAAAGAGAAAGAAGGAAGAGGCGAGGGUGAUGGGCGUGGACUAAUGGAAAUCCACUCACAGAGGCACAAAAGCAAACACGUUCCGUCCAACUUUCUGGCUUUUGGAGUUUGGAGUUUGGACUCUUACGUCACUUCCAGUUCUCCACUUCUGUACCUCUCCCUUUCCUUGGCCCCUUGGAAUAAAAAGCUAAGUAAUUUUGGUCU
This is a long non-coding RNA of Macadamia integrifolia, 664 nucleotides long. RefSeq lists it as uncharacterized. The transcript has 2 exons. NCBI's taxonomy places the organism in Eukaryota, Viridiplantae, Streptophyta, Magnoliopsida, Proteales, Proteaceae. The record is from RefSeq and is a predicted model, not a curated record.